Molecule: ribosomal RNA, 484 nt
Filed under: uncultured bacterium
Lineage: Bacteria
Description: bacterial SSU rRNA
Rfam family: Bacterial small subunit ribosomal RNA
Source: RNAcentral
UGGGGAAUCUUGGACAAUGGGGGCAACCCUGAUCCAGCCAUGCCGCGUGAGUGAUGAAGGCCUUAGGGUCGUAAAGCUCUUUCGCCUGUGAAGAUAAUGACGGUAGCAGGUAAAGAAACCCCGGCUAACUCCGUGCCAGCAGCCGCGGUAAUACGGAGGGGGUUAGCGUUGUUCGGAAUUACUGGGCGUAAAGCGCACGUAGGCGGACCAGAAAGUUGGGGGUGAAAUCCCGGGGGCUCAACCCCGGAACUGCCUCCAAAACUAUUGGUCUAGAGUUCGAGAGAGGUGAGUGGAAUUCCAAGUGUAGAGGUGAAAUUCGUAGAUAUUAGGUGGAACACCAGUGGCGAAGGCGCCUAACUGGUCCGGUACUGACGCUGAGGAACGAAAGCGUGGGGAGCAAACAGGAUUAGAUACCCUGGUAGUCCACGCCGUAAACGAUGAGUGCUAGAUGUUGGGAUUUUCGGAUUUCAGUGUCGCAGCUAAC